UUACUUUUAUCAAGUCCAGCAUAAGAUCUCAGUCAAGAUGUGCAAAUGUUUCAAUGCAUUUAACAGGUACUAUCCUUAAGAGUGAUCAAUCAACCAAGCAGAGAUGGAAUCAGAAAUUCAGAGAACUAUUCCUCACCAGAGAAAACGUUUCACUCAAGCAUUCAAAAAUGUAUCACUCAACUCACAGGUGUAUGGUGUGGUGUUGCUCUCUGUUGUCACAAUGUCACACAAAUUAAUUUUGCCUUUCAUUUAAUCACAAUCAAACAUACUCACAAACAGGUUGUCAUCACAAGGGCUUUUCAUGGCUUGUAACUUGGUUGGGCUAAGAAGGAAAUUGGUUUUUCUAGUUAGCAAAGUUCCUUGAGUUAAAAGAGACAUUUAUGAAUUCAUCUUUCAAGAACAUUCUCUCUUCUUUUUCCCGGCCUUCCCUUGCAGUGAGCUUUUUUCUUUUUCUUUUUGAAUUUUUCUUUUCUCACUUUUUCUUUUC
This 487-nucleotide long non-coding RNA is filed under the name Vigna radiata. RNAcentral's name for it is "long non-coding RNA (VRAD_LNC008316)". Lineage: Eukaryota; Viridiplantae; Streptophyta; Magnoliopsida; Fabales; Fabaceae. The record is from RNAcentral.